This is a long non-coding RNA of Ziziphus jujuba (common jujube), 452 nucleotides long. RefSeq lists it as uncharacterized. The record is from RefSeq and is a predicted model, not a curated record. Lineage: Eukaryota; Viridiplantae; Streptophyta; Magnoliopsida; Rosales; Rhamnaceae. The transcript is spliced from 2 exons.
CUCUCUCUCUAUCUCUCUCUCUCUCUGACUGAGUGAAACUGCCAAGGAAGCACUCUGUUUUUCCAGUCCUUGGCUUUCUUCAAUUGGGGUCUUCCACAGGAUCCUUCAAAAGUUAGUUUGGUAUGGGGGCGUGGCUAGCCCACAAUACAGAAGGAGGAGGAGGAAGAGGAGGUACGACAUCUGCAAUGUGCGUUGAUGAUUGCAUGAGAAUGUGUAUGAAACUAGAGCGGGCCACAAAAUCAUCAUGUGACCAAGGUUGCAUGCUGGGAUGCAAACAGCUGAGAGGAAAAGGACCUAUAAAGCCACCUGCUGCUAGUGAUUGAUAUAAUAUAUCAACUGCAAAACACGGCAUGCUGUUGUUGGUCGCUAUUACUGUUCUCCAUAUAUGGAAGUUGUAUUGUAUUGUAUUGCAGAAAUUGUUAUGAACUUGGCCAAAGUACGCAGUUCCUUUU